UCAAACUUGGUCAUUUAGAGGAAGUACAAGUCGUAACAAGGUAUCCGUAGGUGAACCUGCGGAUGGAUCAUUACCGAGUGAUUUUGUUUGUAAUGUGAAUUGUUGAUUGUUUGGUUGGUGGGUUUUGUGUGCCUUGGUGUAUUUGAUGCGCUUUGGUAUGUUGAUGUGCUUUGGUAUAUUGAUGUGCUUUGGUAUAUUGAUUUACUUUGGUAUGUUGAUUUACUUUGGUGCUUCUCCGAUGCCCAUACAUCAAAACCACCAGCCUUUGUACGUACACUAUGCAAGCCUGAGUCCAUUCACUGAAUGAUAAAACAACUUUUAGCAAUGGAUCUCUUGGCUCUCGCAUCGAUGAAGAACGCAGC
RNAcentral lists this unclassified non-coding RNA (362 nucleotides) under uncultured fungus. Its description in RNAcentral is "partial contains small subunit ribosomal RNA, internal transcribed spacer 1, and 5.8S ribosomal RNA". The stretch from base 1 to 73 matches the Rfam family "Eukaryotic small subunit ribosomal RNA", at positions 1759 to 1831 of the family's 1831-position model. The record is from RNAcentral. Lineage: Eukaryota; Fungi.